Molecule: non-coding RNA, 111 nt
Filed under: Actinoplanes awajinensis
Lineage: Bacteria; Bacillati; Actinomycetota; Actinomycetes; Micromonosporales; Micromonosporaceae
Also listed under: 1 other name
Description: TPP sequence
Rfam family: TPP riboswitch aptamer (THI element)
About the family: Vitamin B(1) in its active form thiamin pyrophosphate (TPP) is an essential coenzyme that is synthesised by coupling of pyrimidine and thiazole moieties in bacteria. The previously detected thiamin-regulatory element, thi box was extended, resulting in a new, highly conserved RNA secondary structure, the THI element, which is widely distributed in eubacteria and also occurs in some archaea. Analysis of operon structures identified a large number of new candidate thiamin-regulated genes, mostly transporters, in various prokaryotic organisms.
Source: RNAcentral
CAAGAAACCCACGGGAGUCCGGGCACCGGGCUGAGAGGGAGGCUGAAGCGGCCUCCGACCGUAGAACCUGAUCCGGGUAAUGCCGGCGCAGGGAGGAGUGCGUCGUGGACG